This is a long non-coding RNA of Myotis daubentonii (Daubenton's bat), 665 nucleotides long. RefSeq lists it as uncharacterized. The record is from RefSeq and is a predicted model, not a curated record. Lineage: Eukaryota; Metazoa; Chordata; Mammalia; Chiroptera; Vespertilionidae.
UCCAGGGAAAGUGAGUAUCUAAUUGGUUUUAUGCUCAUGGCAUUUGUCUGUCUUUUUUCAGUCAUCUCCAUAAUUCAACACCCAGGCACAGAACAAGUGUCACCAGGUUUGAAGUCACAGCUGAGACUGAAGUACGAAUUCAUCAUGUUUUCCAAAGGUUUGACCAUCUGAUCGAUGUGCUUCUCUGUCUCUGGAUCUGUUUUUGUUCAUCACAACCUUCCCCAAAUCUGGCAGUCCUGCUGUGUCUCAGCUGGGUGAGUAGUGCCACUCCUGUCCAGGGGAACUGAGAACCCAAUUGCUUUUAUGCUCAUGACAUUGACCUCUGUUUUCAGUCACCUCAAUAAAUUAAGACCCAGCACAGAACAAGUGGCACCAGGUUUGAAGUCACAGCUGAGACGGAAGUACCUACUCAUCAUAUUUUCCAAAGGAAGAAAAAUCUUUAUGAACCAAUCUGCACCACUAUGGCUUAAGAAAAAAUAAUAAGUGAUCAUGGAAAACAAUGAUCAAUUAUGAGUGAGCAACCACUUGCCUUCUUCCUGGAUGAAUCACAACUAAACCAAUUUAUUGAUUUACAAUCACAAAAUAAAAAUAUAUCUUAUUGAAAAUAUUUUUGCAGGAACUUUUAUCAGCCUUUUGCCUCCAUAAUUUUACUGAAUCUGAUUGCC